GAUGGCGUCCCCGGCGUACGAGCUCUGCCGCCACUGCGGCAGCACCGCGGCCGCCAGCGCCGACACCCACCCGGCCAGCGCCGCCAGUGGCCCAGGGGGUGUUCCCAGGGGACAGGGCCAGCAGGAAGGAGCUGCACGUGGAUCCUCGGAGCUGAGCUACUCACGGUCUGUGUCUUGGCAUCCAGCUCAGUGAAGUAGAAAGCUCCUCCUUCAAAGUCUCCAUUGAGAUAAAGGAUGGCACUAAAAAGGGAGCAGGGGACGAGUGGAGGUAACUAACAACCCUGACCACAGCUCCAGCAAGCAGGUGAGCCCAGAGCUCCCCCAACACCCACAGCAAGAGCCUGAGGCAGGAGAGCCCAGGUUUGGUGUCCUCCCACCUGGCUCCUCCCAGCCUAGGUGCCACCAAGCUGUGGUACUCUCAGCUGACAGCCACCACCAGUACCUGUAAUCCCGGAAUGUGUAGGCUGGGGGUUCCUUCACGCACACCAGAGCCUCUGCAUUGAGGAUGCAGUUGUCCACGUGCACCUCGUGGCUGUUGUCACUCCGACCUUCUUGCUUCUCUAGGGUGGAACGAGACCUGAGAUAUCAGGACCCCUCUGUCUGUGCAAGAGCAGGGUCUGUCCCCAAGCAUCCCAGGCUUGGAGGUGACAAGAAAGUGGUGUGCAGCCUAAAGCACUUAACUUGCUGGAGUGUGGACCAUGCGAGGCCAUUCGGGUGGCACAAGCCUCUCCCAGCUUGUCCCGUGGCAUUUCCUGGCCUUCCAGGCACAGCCUCUCCCAGCACCCAUCCCAAAUGCCUCUGGGUGCUGAAAUCCUAUAUGGCAUGAAGCCAUCUGCCCCACUGGAGGCAACCAAGAGAGCUGCUGCUCAUCUUCCUGAGCUGGGCUUUAAGGGACAAGCUUCCCACACCCUCCCAGGUGGAGGAGACAGUUAGGGAGCAGCAAGGAGGUCUCCAAGGAAAGGUCCAAGACCAGACCAAUUCCAGCUGUUGGAGGGGACCUGACAGGAGCAGACCCGCUCCUCUGGGCCGUGCUCACCGUCGAUGGCUGUGCGGCACACGAGGUGGGAGUAGGAGAAGUGGAGCGGAGCCUCCAGGCGGAAAUAGGACUCCAUCAUGCGCCGCACCUUCUCCGUCACGUUGUAGUACAGGUGGGCACUGCGCAGGGGCACCUUGCCCUCCUGGCCCAGCUACAGGGGGACAGGCAGCACAGGGGCUCAGCCCCAGGUGGCCACGGGGCCUGCCCCCAAACUCCCACCUCUUGCCCCCACAGCCCGUUUCUCCCCGCAUCCACCCCAACCUUGAGGGCCUUGAGGACGGUCACGCCGUAGAAGGUCUCGCUGGGGGUGUGAGGAGAGGUCUUCCCCCGAUAGCCGUCCCCAGCUGAGGCAGCUGCCUGCAAAACCCCAUGGGUGUUACUGGUCUGAGCUGCAACCCCUGCCCGCCCCCCCCGUCCCCACGCUCACGUUAGUGAGUCUCUGCAGCUCCCGACACUCCUCGGCAGAGAGGACUCCAUCCACCACCACACGCUGGGAGCCGUUCAGGGCCCUGGAGUUCAUGGUGACACUGGCUCCUUCGUACCCCAAGGGGCCACCUGGGGCACAAACGGGAUUGGGGGACAUGGGGAUGAGCACCACCAACCCUGGGGGAAGCUGUGGUCCUGCCACCUGCUCCUGCUGCCACCCACGUAUGGAGGGACUGGCAGCAGGGGUCACGGAGGUCCCCAUCCCGCCUCCCCUGCUCUGCACCUUCUCGGAUGAACUUGCUCAUGUCAGCAGACUCCUUGGCCUUCUCCUCCACCAGCGUCUCGAUCUCCUUCAUGAGGUUGCCAAUCUCCUCCGAGAUGCGUGCCGCCGUCUCCCGCUCUGCCCUGGGCACGUGGUAGCCAUCAGCCCCACCAUCCCACUGUCCCCACCACGUCAGGAAUGAGAGGCACCAACAAAAGGGCAGGACAAGUUGUCUCAGGGGCUGGUGACAAAGCCCAAGACUGGAGAGAGUCACUCCAAUGCAUCCCUCACCCUGUGGUGCUUGGGGUGCCCAUCAUCCCAUGGGCUGAUGGGAAGCAAAGUUCUGCCCUCCAGCAGCUUUUUCCAUCCCCAAUAUCAACACCUUCCCUGGCAGCAACUCUGUGCCAUGGCCUUUGGCCCAAACCCCCCAGAGGAAGAGGGGUAUGUCCUGUUGGACCCCUACCAGGGACAGCACUCACUUCUGUUUCUCUCGCAGCCUUUUCGGUAUCACCUCUUCAGGUGUCCACGUGUCCUGCAGCCAGAAGAACAGCAUCAGGAGCUGGACAAGGAUCUGGCCAGGAUGCAGAUCCCCUCAUCCACAUUCCACCUGGCCACCGUGUCCCCUUGGUCUCACACCACCCACCGGGUCCACGAAAGGGAUGCCGAAGACAUCGUAGCUGAAGAAGAGCAGCUCCUUCUCCAUCAGGCUCUGCUGGCGGUACACCCGGAUCUCCUGUGGCAAGGGGGCACAGGGAAGGGGUGAGGUACAGCACGAGGGCUCUAAAGGACCCUGAGUAUGGGCAGGAAGGUGCAGGUUUACACCAUUCCUGUGGUCCUUGCUCCAGACCUAUAGCCCUGGUUUCCUGUUCCCUCUGGCAGCUGGGAAGGAAGUGGCUUUCCCCAUCCUGCCUCAAUUUCCCUGUCCUGUGUGGAUGACUCAGGAGAGGACAGUCCAGCAGAGCCUGGACAUGUCCCUCCUGCAGGAAGCUCUUUAGGAGCAGAUCCCCUUCCCUACUCCAGCUGGUGUGGGGCAGAGACCUCCAUUCCUGCCUACCACAUCCCAGGCAGGAACUGGUCAUCCAGAUCCAGCUAUUUUGAAGCCAAAUCCUCUCCUUCUUAAGCAAUUUCACUUCAGUUGUGGAAGAGUGCAGCAGAGGUGCGCUCAGACCCUCCUAAAAGGUCUGUCCACCUGCCUCUCCCUGAGGAGUGGGUCCAUGUGUGCCAAUCAUCCAGCUUCACGUGGCCAAAGAUAUUUUGCCAGUGAUGAUUUUCAGUCUCUCAGCUAUUUUCCAGCUUGUUGAACCCUAAAACCAUCCAUUACUGUCCACCUUGGGUGGCUGGACCAGAGAAGAGCCCAUAACUUCUGCAAAGGUCCCCAAGGAGGAGAGAAGAUGUCUCAGCUGAUUGCUCACCUCUCGGGGUUGGAUGGGUCUCGCCAGGUUCUCCCCCAGGACAGCAGUGUAAUAGGCCAAAUUCUGGUUCAUCACCUCAUCAUGUGGGAAGAAGAGCAAAUAGGUUUUGGCGCAUUCGAUGGCUUUUUCAUAAUUCCCAUCUGCAAAGAGAAAGUGGGGCUGUUUAACAGCAUGUCCAAGGGCACUGGAGGCAGAGCAAACAUGGAUAUGGAAGAGAGAUGAGAGACAAAAUCCUUGUCGUCCUGCAAAGAGUCUCACAAGCAGGGCGGAUCCCCUGGAGCAAGGAUAACUGUUGCCACAAAGGCAAAAUUCAGAAUCCAAGGUGCUCUCCUGCCUCCAGAAACCAGGGUCACAGGUUGAGUACUUUUCUUGCUUGGAAGAAUUCCUGAGGCCCCUUUCCAGGUAGUCAGACCCAACCAUUCCUUGCUAACCUGCAAUUUCCAGCCACUGAAGCACCCUGCCCCACUUUUGUGCAGCCUUUCACAGAAUCACACAAUCACAAACUGGGGAAGGAAAGGAAGGGACCACACGGGGUCAUCUGGUCCAACCUCCCUGCUUCAGCAUCCUGGCACAGGAUUGCAUCCAGAUGGUUCUGGAAUAUCUCCAGCGAGGGAGACCCCACACCCUCUCUGGGCAAUCUGUCCCAGCACGUGGUCACCUGCACAGUGAAGUUCUUCCUCAUAUCCAGGUGAAACUCCCUGUGCAUCAGUUCCUGCCCGCUGCCUCUUGUCCUAUUGCUCAGCACCACCGAGCAGAGCCUGGUCCAUCCUCUGACACCCACCCUGCAGAUACU
Molecule: long non-coding RNA, 3929 nt
Organism: Pseudopipra pipra
Lineage: Eukaryota; Metazoa; Chordata; Aves; Passeriformes; Pipridae
Exons: 2
Source: RefSeq, a predicted model, not a curated record